This 82-nucleotide transfer RNA is filed under the name Arthrobacter sp. RNAcentral's name for it is "tRNA-Leu". It matches the Rfam family "tRNA". Rfam says of the family: Transfer RNA (tRNA) molecules are approximately 80 nucleotides in length. RNAcentral also lists the same sequence under 12 other names. The record is from RNAcentral. Lineage: Bacteria; Bacillati; Actinomycetota; Actinomycetes; Micrococcales; Micrococcaceae.
GCGCGAGUGGUGGAAUUGGCAGACACGCAGGAUUUAGGUUCCUGUGCCUUCGGGCGUGGGGGUUCAAGUCCCCCCUUGCGCA